GAUGAACGCUGGCGGCGUGCCUAAUACAUGCAAGUCGAGCGAACAGACGAGGAGCUUGCUCCUCUGACUUUAGCGGCGGACGGGUGAGUAACACGUGGAUAACCUACCUAUAAGACUGGGAUAACUUCGGGAAACCGGAGCUAAUACCGGAUAAUAUAUUUAACCGCAUGGUUCAAUAGUGAAAGACGGUUUUGCUUUCACUUAUAGAUGGAUCCGCGCCGCAUUAGCUAGUUGGUAAGGUAACGGCUUACCAAGGCGACGAUGCGUAGCCGACCUGAGAGGGUGAUCGGCCACACUGGAACUGAGACACGGUCCAGACUCCUACGGGAGGCAGCAGUAGGGAAUCUUCCGCAAUGGGCGAAAGCCUGACGGAGCAACGCCGCGUGAGUGAUGAAGGUCUUCGGAUCGUAAAACUCUGUUAUUAGGGAAGAACAAAUGUGUAAGUAACUAUGCACGUCUUGACGGUACCUAAUCAGAAAGCCACGGCUAACUACGUG
Molecule: ribosomal RNA, 497 nt
Filed under: uncultured bacterium
Lineage: Bacteria
Description: partial 16S ribosomal RNA
Rfam family: Bacterial small subunit ribosomal RNA
Source: RNAcentral